This 166-nucleotide RNase P RNA is filed under the name Stenotrophomonas maltophilia. Its description in RNAcentral is "partial bacterial RNase P". It matches the Rfam family "Bacterial RNase P class A", at positions 186 to 367 of the family's 367-position model. From Rfam's summary of the family: Ribonuclease P (RNase P) is a ubiquitous endoribonuclease, found in archaea, bacteria and eukarya as well as chloroplasts and mitochondria. Its best characterised activity is the generation of mature 5'-ends of tRNAs by cleaving the 5'-leader elements of precursor-tRNAs. Cellular RNase Ps are ribonucleoproteins. The record is from RNAcentral. Lineage: Bacteria; Pseudomonadati; Pseudomonadota; Gammaproteobacteria; Lysobacterales; Lysobacteraceae.
CUGGCAACAGACCGGCACGGCAAACCCCACCUGGAGCAAGACCAAAUAGGGAUCCUUUGGCGCGGCCCGCGUUGGAUCCGGGUAGGUUGCUUGAGCGUUGCGGUGACGUAACGCCUAGAGGAAUGACUGUCCACGACAGAACCCGGCUUAUCGGCCGGCUCCGCCU